Triplophysa dalaica is the source of this 283-nucleotide long non-coding RNA. RefSeq lists it as uncharacterized. NCBI's taxonomy places the organism in Eukaryota, Metazoa, Chordata, Actinopteri, Cypriniformes, Nemacheilidae. The record is from RefSeq and is a predicted model, not a curated record. The transcript has 3 exons.
AGAAAUUUGCAAAGGUGUUUGAGAUUUCAUGGCCGUUCAAUACUCAGGCAACAGUGUCAUGGUGAUCCUUCUCUUUCAUGUCUAAAACUAUCGGUGUAUACUUUAUUGAAUACUACCAGGGUCAUUCUGCACUAGCCAAUGGACGAGACCCGUCUGCCCUCUUUGGAAAACCCAAUCUACACUGGCUUCAAGAUCCCGUAGCAUUUCUAAAAUGGUGUUCUCUGCCUAACAAGUCCCCAAUGUGAAGUCUUUACAGCUCUCCUCACCAACAUCGAGACAGCUA